Long non-coding RNA from Equus asinus (donkey), 1545 nucleotides. NCBI's taxonomy places the organism in Eukaryota, Metazoa, Chordata, Mammalia, Perissodactyla, Equidae. The record is from Ensembl.
GUGUUAGCUCAGGGUCAGUCUUCCUCAGCAAAAAGAGGAGGACUGGCGGCAGAUGUUAGCUCAGGGCUAAUCUUCCUUGGGGGGAAAAAAAGGAGAUUCCUGCUUUUGUCAGUGAAGUUUCUUUAUGUUGUAAGUGAAGAAAAACCCAAGGGAAACUGAAAAGACUGUUGGUAGAUCCAGGGAUAGUCAUGACUUUAAUCAAAGUUCAAAUGCUGCCACCAGGACCUACCUCCCAGAUCUUCCUCUGCCUGUUAGCUUCGUCUUUAGGCUGGUUCCUGCCCUGGUAGCAGAAUGGUUGCAACAGUCGCAACUUCACAUCUGUAGCUACCGAGUCUGGAGGUCCUGUGGUAUGGAGGCUACUGGAUUAGAAUUGCUAAUUUUCAUUUAGGAUUUUUGCAUUCAUAGUUAUAAAAUACGGUCUAUAGAUUUCCUUCUAGUGUUAUAAUUGUAGGUUUUGGUAACAGGAUUAUGAUCCUCUUUCAAAACAAGCUGGGAUUUUUUCCAAGUAUUUUUACACUCUGGAACCAUCUGGUCUACUGCAUUUUUGGUGUAGGCGAUAUCUUUGACUACAUUUUUAAUUGAUUUAUUCAGAUUUUCUACAUUUUGAGCUGAUUUUGCUUAUUUACAUUUUCAUCGGUAUAAGGAUUUUUUUUCUACCCGUUUUUCUUGUGUCAACUCUUUGAACAUUUUUCCCAUUCUCCUUUCUGUACUAGUAUCACUCCAUUUGAAAAUCUCAAAGGCUGUCUAGGAAAGGGCACACAGGAGAGUUGAUGGUGAAGCGGCCAAAAACUGAAAAAGUGAACUUUAAACUGGUUCACUACAGGAACAUUUGCUGCUGAGAACAUGCUAACCUGCCACCCUGAGGCUUAUUUUAAUUCCGCGGAAAUCCAUGCAGAGGUUUUAGCGCUUAGAUCGUAACCUACUGGGCGAAAGCGGGGACGGUAACCCGACUGUUAGAGCCCCGGCGGGCUUGGCAGUUUUGUAAGCUACUUUCAAGCGGUAACUCCAAGUGGUACCUCCAAAGGAGCACAACGCGGCACCCACGGCUAGUCGGAAAAAGUGCCCCGUUUAACAAAAGCUGAAAAGAUCUGUUAAGAAUUAGUGAAAAUAUUUUAAUUCUCCGACAUCUCUGGUUCUGUGAAACGAGCCUGCGUAGCUGAUGGAAAUUCCCCAAGUUUUCUUAACACCACAAACCGGACUGCCUCCCUCAGCUCCCAGUCGGAUCCAUCCCACCCAGACCCGGUUCGAGAGUGCCACACUUUUUCCAGCCGGUUCCCAAACGACCUUCCGAAGUGAGGUUUCCCGCCAUUUCACUUCAAGGAAUGGAGGGUCUUUCCCCUCAGAUUCCCCACACUUGUGGGAGGCCCGAGCCCACACAGCUUUCCCCUCAAAGCAAGCAGCGGGACGCCAACGGCAGCAGGCUGCAUUAUGACCCAGGGGACUGAGCAAAAAGGGGACACCCCAAGUCGCUCGGUAAGCGCUCAGCAUCUGCCGAAAACAAACCCCGCGAAACGCAAGCAAAGCCGGCCGGGCGCGGGCGCCGAG